GGUGGCGGGCGGGCCGUUACCUCCCGCGCAUGCUCUAUGGGGUAGAGACGCUAGGCCGGCACUGCCUAGGUGGGCCGGGCGGUGCGAGGGUCGCCUUUCAGCCUUUACCUCUACCCACUGAAAUGGAGUAGGUCGGUGAGCGCCGAUCUGCUGGAGAAUCUCAUUAUCCCAUCGGCGCUCUGCCUGCUCCUGGCCUCCAAGCCUCUGAAGCCCCUCGGGUUUCAGCUGCCGGCUACCCUCGAGCCCGUGGUGCCCACGAGAGAGGCGACUUUACGUCAGCGGCCCUGGGCUGAGAUUUGAGAACGCGACCAAGUGGAGAAUGUUGGAGCCAGAUUUUAAAAUCCUUGUCUUCCUUCUGCGUGCUACUUGAUCUAAAUGAGAUACGGCAAAGUCACAGAACCUGUUUUUAUGUUUUUGCCUGAUUCAUACGGGCUUCUCCGGUGAAGAUGGGCCUGAAGUAACGCUUGGGUUGCUUCUGACGUUAUAACUCAUCCUGUAGCUGCAGCAACCGUGGUCCUUGCAACCUCAUAAAAAUGUUGCCAGCAUUGUUUCGAUAGUGCUGCUUAAUUCUUGGAAGGUUCUUCGGACUUCACACAUUCCAGCAGUAGCUCUCUCAGCUCCUGUCCUGCACAGCUUUGAAGUGCUGGUGAUGUCAUUGAACUCUUAAGUGCAAGAUGAAACAAGUCUUUCUGGGGUUCUAAGUAGGACACAGGACUGGGCUGUGGCCCUUGGCGAGCCUCCCAAGCUAUUCAGUGAUGUUAGACAACCCACUUACCUUCUCUGAAAUUUACUUUUCUUAUAUGUAAAAUGCAGCUAUUGUACAGUUAACCAACAGGACACAGCCCUGGUGAUGGCUUUCUGAGGAUGACACGAUGGAGGCUUCUCCAAUAGCUCUAAAACUGCGGUGUGGAAAACAUUCGGCAGCCUCAAAGAGCGGUCUUGUUGACCCCAACUAUAUCAUUUUUCAUCAAAAUCAUUCUUGAAUGACCAGGCAACACUCUUUGAAAAUUGGAGGCCAUUUGCAGCUGCUCUCUGUUGAGGAAAGUGAAUAAUAGGGUGCCCUCAAGGAAUUGCAAAGGUAUCACUCAACAGAAACUUUCGUGUCUGAAGAAAACUAGAUCAUUUUAUCAUGGUAGGCAUGCUGAUAUGUUUGCUUUAAUAAAAUGCCAUAUUUCUGCCUUUAA
Molecule: long non-coding RNA, 1184 nt
Organism: Homo sapiens (human)
Lineage: Eukaryota; Metazoa; Chordata; Mammalia; Primates; Hominidae
Gene: HULC
Product: hepatocellular carcinoma up-regulated long non-coding RNA
Source: Ensembl